GCUGAGGUGUCCGAGUGGUUAAGGAGUUGGACUUGAAAUCCAAUGGGUAUUACCCGCGCAGGUUCGAAUCCUGUCCUCAGCG
Molecule: transfer RNA, 82 nt
Filed under: Galleria mellonella (greater wax moth)
Lineage: Eukaryota; Metazoa; Arthropoda; Insecta; Lepidoptera; Pyralidae
Also listed under: 1 other name
Rfam family: tRNA
About the family: Transfer RNA (tRNA) molecules are approximately 80 nucleotides in length. Their secondary structure includes four short double-helical elements and three loops (D, anti-codon, and T loops).
Source: Rfam by way of RNAcentral